GCACNAACGCUGUGCGGCGUGCUUAACACAUGCAAGUCGAACGAUGAAGCCCUUCGGGGUGGAUUAGUGGCGAACGGGUGAGUAACACGUGGGCAAUCUGCCCUUCACUCUGGGACAAGCCCUGGAAACGGGGUCUAAUACCGGAUAACACCUGCCCGGGCAUCUGGGUGGGUUAAAAGCUCCGGCGGUGAAGGAUGAGCCCGCGGCCUAUCAGCUUGUUGGUGAGGUAGUGGCUCACCAAGGCGACGACGGGUAGCCGGCCUGAGAGGGCGACCGGCCACACUGGGACUGAGACACGGCCCAGACUCCUACGGGAGGCAGCAGUGGGGAAUAUUGCACAAUGGGCGAAAGCCUGAUGCAGCGACGCCGCGUGAGGGAUGACGGCCUUCGGGUUGUAAACCUCUUUCAGCAGGGAAGAAGCGAAAGUGACGGUACCUGCAGAAGAAGCGCCGGCUAACUACGUGCCAGCAGCCGCGGUAAUACGUAGGGCGCAAGCGUUGUCCGGAAUUAUUGGGCGUAAAGAGCUCGUAGGCGGCUUGUCACGUCGGGUGUGAAAGCCCGGGGCUUAACCCCGGGUCUGCAUUCGAUACGGGCUAGCUAGAGUGUGGUAGGGGAGAUCGGAAUUCCUGGUGUAGCGGUGAAAUGCGCAGAUAUCAGGAGGAACACCGGUGGCGAAGGCGGAUCUCUGGGCCAUUACUGACGCUGAGGAGCGAAAGCGUGGGGAGCGAACAGGAUUAGAUNCCCUGGUAGUCCACGCCGUAAACNGUGGGAACUAGGUGUNGGCGACAUUCCACGUCGUCGGUGCCGNANCUAACGCAUUAAUUNCCCGCCUGGGGAAUCCNGCCCCAGGNUAAACUCAANGAAUUGACGGGGNCCCCCCAANNCCGGAANUNNGGNUAAUUCNACCACNNNAA
RNAcentral lists this ribosomal RNA (914 nucleotides) under Streptomyces sp. LK1324.4. Its description in RNAcentral is "partial 16S ribosomal RNA". It matches the Rfam family "Bacterial small subunit ribosomal RNA", at positions 26 to 965 of the family's 1533-position model. Lineage: Bacteria; Bacillati; Actinomycetota; Actinomycetes; Kitasatosporales; Streptomycetaceae. The record is from RNAcentral.